UUUAAAGAGAGUUUGAUCCUGGCUCAGGACGAACGCUGGCGGCGUGCCUAAUACAUGCAAGUCGAACGAACGGAGGAAGAGCUUGCUCUUCCAAUGUUAGUGGCGGACGGGUGAGUAACACGUGGGCAACCUGCCUGUAAGUUGGGGAUAACUCCGGGAAACCGGGGCUAAUACCGAAUGAUAAAGUGUGGCGCAUGCCACGCUUUUGAAAGAUGGUUUCGGC
RNAcentral lists this ribosomal RNA (223 nucleotides) under Listeria monocytogenes. RNAcentral describes it as "partial 16S ribosomal RNA". It matches the Rfam family "Bacterial small subunit ribosomal RNA", at positions 1 to 218 of the family's 1533-position model. Lineage: Bacteria; Bacillati; Bacillota; Bacilli; Caryophanales; Listeriaceae. The record is from RNAcentral.